UACUGCAUCAGGAACUGAUUGGAUAAUAUUCAGGCACCAUCAGUUCCUAAUGCAUUGCC
This 59-nucleotide microRNA precursor is filed under the name Notamacropus eugenii (tammar wallaby). RNAcentral's name for it is "Neu-Mir-217-v1_pre stem-loop". Lineage: Eukaryota; Metazoa; Chordata; Mammalia; Diprotodontia; Macropodidae. RNAcentral also lists the same sequence under 1 other name. The record is from RNAcentral.